Molecule: ribosomal RNA, 500 nt
Filed under: uncultured bacterium
Lineage: Bacteria
Description: partial 16S ribosomal RNA
Rfam family: Bacterial small subunit ribosomal RNA
Source: RNAcentral
AUUGAACGCUGGCGGCAUGCCUUACACAUGCAAGUCGAACGGCAGCACGGGAGCAAUCCUGGUGGCGAGUGGCGAACGGGUGAGUAAAGUAUCGGAACGUGCCCAGUCGUGGGGGAUAACGUAGCGAAAGUUACGCUAAUACCGCAUACGAUCUAUGGACGAAAGCGGGGGCUCGCAAGACCUCGCGCGAUUGGGGCGGCCGAUAUCAGAUUAGGUAGGUGGUGGGGUAAAGGCUCACCAAGCCGACGAUCUGUAGCUGGUCUGAGAGGACGACCAGCCACACUGGGACUGAGACACGGCCCAGACUCCUACGGGAGGCAGCAGUGGGGAAUUUUGGACAAUGGGCGAAAGCCUGAUCCAGCCAUGCCGCGUGCAGGAUGAAGGCCUUCGGGUUGUAAACUGCUUUUGUACGGAACGAAAAGGUUUGGCCUAAUAAGCUGAGCUCAUGACGGUACCGUAAGAAUAAGCACCGGCUAACUACGUGCCAGCCGCCGCGGUAA